This is a long non-coding RNA of Sebastes umbrosus (honeycomb rockfish), 1170 nucleotides long. RefSeq lists it as uncharacterized. The record is from RefSeq and is a predicted model, not a curated record. Lineage: Eukaryota; Metazoa; Chordata; Actinopteri; Perciformes; Sebastidae. The transcript has 3 exons.
CUCUCACUUAGUUCUGAUUAACACAGAUUAACACUCAAAGUCUCAAAGCACAUUGUAGCAGCUGUAGUUUUUCCUUGGAGACAAACAUUUUUCAGAAAUACGUAUUUCUGUGACAUACAGCCUCGAGCUUUCAAUUUUGCAACCAAAAUUGCAGACCAGUUCUCUGGAAGUAAGUCAAAAUGGAUGGAAGAGGAGACGGACCCCACAACGAUGGAAACGACCGCCCUGUGUUCCUCCACUAUUUAUUUCCAAGAGGAGAUCAGCCAAUGGGCAAUCAACUUCAUGGUGGAUUCAUUGCCUGGUUAGUAUUAAACCUGAAUGGUGGACCAGAUGAGCCCGGCAUCGCUGCGUUAGUGGAGGUGUUUCUAGGACCUGUGCACCAAGACCUUGACAACAAUGGAAACAACCAUGAAGUCCAGGGCAACCAUGAAAACCAGGAUGAGGAAAACCAUGGAAACAUCGUCAACAAUGACAUCCAUGACAACCUUGACAACAAUGACGGCAUCCAACGUUGAGGUUAGAGUCCACCAGGGUGUAGAGGAAGACGACCCCCUGCCUGGAGGAUUCGGGAAAAGGUCAAGAGAGGAGGAUGGAGAGGUCAUUGAAGAGGGAAGCAGCAAAAGAUACAGAUGGUGGGAUGAGUUUGCUGAAACCAGCUCUGACAGUAACACUGACAGUGACACUGACAGCACAAACAGUGACGAUUUCAACAGAAAAACUGAAAUUAGUCCAGACAAGCGGGAUGAAGCUGCUGAAGAAGACCCUCUGCCUGGUGUAUCCCGGAAAACAUCAAGAAAGAACGAUGAAGAGGAGAGAAGCAGCAAGAAAUCAAGACAGUUAAGAGUUUGCAGACAGCAACUCUGACAUAGUCACCAUCACAACUGGCCACGAUCUUGCUCACAGUAGUGCAAAUAUAUUGAUGUGGCCAAAGUAAAUCUAAGUCGUUUUGUUGCCUAAACCUAACCAAGGCAAUCUUUUCCUAAACCUAACUAAGUAGUUUUGUUGCAGAAACCAAACCAAGUUGUUUCCUGUGAAGACGGAAGUUUAUGUAGAAAAGACCGAAGCGGAUAUUGACACGUGCGUCACAUGUUGCUGGACAUUCAUAGGAAAAUGCACGACAAAUGAGGAAUAACUAUUUGUAAGAAAUCAUACAAACCGUUGUAUGAGAAA